UCACCUGCCUUCUGCCCUUAAGCUCCGGUAGAUUGCAAAUAACCUGCUUUCUUUCUGUUCCCGAGCUGCGUUCGGACCCAUGUCUUAUUGUAAAUCCCACGCAAGGUACCUGCCGUCGGAAGAUUUGAGCUUUCUUCUUGAACACCUCAUACCCACAGUCCUCCAGGUGGUUCCUAAGGAUCUUAGGAUCCCCGAUGGGCGUCCUAAGCCAGUGGGGGAAGAGGGGCUGGCUCUCAGUCCCCGCCUUGCGGGGGGUGUCUCCCCACCCUGUGAUGGGGGUCACAAGAGCCAGAGGGGGAAGAGGGGCUGGCUCUCAACCACCACGAAAUGGGAGGCCUUUAUGUUCAGGUUUUGCCCAAGACUGCGUUCGGACCCGUCUGAUCGUAAAUCCCAUGUAAGGUACCUGCCGUCGGAAGAUUUGAACGUUCUACUUGGACACCUAAAACCCACAGUCCUCCAGACAGAAAGACAACAGGUACAAAGCCCUAAGGAUUAUAAAGGUAUGCUGCUUACCAUCAUCUUAGUGACCAAGGCAGCGAAGCUGUUUCUGUACCUUGGAACAGUCUUCCCUGACAAGCCAGAGAACAGUGAUAAAGCCACCAGCCUUGGGAUCAGGACUGAAAAGGCAAGAGUGAUGGAGAUUUCUCCUGCGCUAAGCCAAGAGAAGGUUUCAGCACUUCAGACAGCUCCCACCGAAGUAGCCGCGCUCCCAGCUGCUUGCAGAUGUUGAAAAGGAAAGCCUCGGUUUGUCUUGAGGUUGUCAGCAGGUGCAAGACACGUAAUAAAAUGCAAUGUGUUCCUAA
RNAcentral lists this long non-coding RNA (803 nucleotides) under Homo sapiens (human). Its description in RNAcentral is "novel transcript". The record is from RNAcentral. Lineage: Eukaryota; Metazoa; Chordata; Mammalia; Primates; Hominidae.